GGCAUGGACCCGUUGCCCGAAAAAAGCGAAGUAAUUGAAACAGAUGUUUGUUGCUAUAUCUAUCCGAAUGUGCUAUAACCGUCAAAACGUACGGAACGAGUUAUUAUCAUUCCACAGUGUGUCUCUUAAGUGUAUGGGACUAUAAUCGCCCUCGUUAAUGGGACUUUGUCUAUCUUUAUUGUACUUUGAUUCAAUGACACAUGGACCGGUCUGGCCCGUAACCAACAUAAUCAAUGAAUGUAGGCCACAUCAAUGGUCAUGGUGACACUCCAUAUGGAUCAAGUUGUUAAUCUCUGUGAAGAAACUACAAUGCACUGCUUCUGUCUAGCUAUUUUGAUGAAUGCCACGAAAAUCUCAUUUUGUUGGAGCACAUUGAGAAUGGGCAGAUGGCAUUAUGGUUUUCUUGUUAAGUUUACUGCAACUUGGCAUAUUUAAAUGUUUAUGAUGCUUCCUAUGGCUUUGUUUUGAAAGAUAAGUUCACUCUGUCUUCGUUGCCCAGCUCUCAUGGGCUUCCUCCCUCCCCUUCCUCUAUCAUUGUCAUUUAGUUCAUCUUUAUAGUCAAAAUUUGAAUUGGAUAAAAUUCAAUUCCAAAUAAUUAAUCAAAAAAAAAUAAUAUUAUUUAAAUUAUUUUAAAACCUAUCAAAGUUCAUUAUAUAUUCGCAUUUGGCAUAGAAUAAUCUUAAAUUAAAAAUGGUAUGGAUGAAGAUGAUCAAAAAAAUAUAUUUAUUGUAUCAUAGUGAUCCUAUAUGGUGGUGAUCCUGGGUCACCCCUUACCACUCAAAUUACCACCCAAUUCGGUGAUGGAAAAUUCAUCUUUUGAGAUCAAAUAUCCACGAUUUUCCUAAAACAAUAAUCUUGGACUGAAAUUUAAGAAUAAAAAUAUCCCUCAAUCUAUUGAAUAAAAUUAGUACUAUAUUAUAUU
This 922-nucleotide long non-coding RNA is filed under the name Elaeis guineensis (African oil palm). RNAcentral's name for it is "long non-coding RNA (EGUI_LNC016008)". The record is from RNAcentral. Lineage: Eukaryota; Viridiplantae; Streptophyta; Magnoliopsida; Arecales; Arecaceae.